RNAcentral lists this ribosomal RNA (534 nucleotides) under uncultured Thermoplasmatales archaeon. Its description in RNAcentral is "bacterial SSU rRNA". It matches the Rfam family "Archaeal small subunit ribosomal RNA", at positions 339 to 875 of the family's 1478-position model. The record is from RNAcentral. Lineage: Archaea; Methanobacteriati; Thermoplasmatota; Thermoplasmata; Thermoplasmatales.
GCGCGAAAACUUCGCACUGUGCGAAAGCACGACGAGGGAAUUCCAAGUGCUUGCUCUUAGGAGUAAGCUGUUUUUCUGUCUAAAACGCAGAGAGAGUAAGGGGUGGGUAAGACGGGUGCCAGCCGCCGCGGUAAUACCUGCACCUCAAGUGGUGGCCGUUAUUAUUGGGCCUAAAACGUCCGUAGCCGGUUUACUAAAUGCCUGGGUAAAUCGAAUAGCUUAACUAUUCGAAUUCCGGGUAGACUGGUAAACUCGAGAUCGGGAGAAGCUAGAGGUACUCCUGGGGUAGAGGUGAAAUUCUGUAAUCCUAGGGGGACCACCAGUGGCGAAGGCGUCUAGCUAUAACGAGUUUGACGGUGAGGGACGAAGCCCUGGGGCGCAAACGGGAUUAGAUACCCCGGUAGUCCAGGGUGUAAACGCUGCUUGCUUGAUGUUGGUCGGGCUCCGAGCCCGAUCAGUGUCGGAGAGAAGUUGUUAAGCAAGCUGCCUGGGGAUACGGUCGCAAGACUGAAACUUAAAGGAAUUGGCGGGGGA